UGAAUGUGCAGUUCCUUGAUUGACCUGUCCUGAUGCAGUGCCUGACUGUAGUUCUGCAGCUCCACUGAAGAAGAGGCACUGAGGACUAGAGGCAGCCAGGGGAUUGCAACUCAAAGAGGUUUUCUAGAACCAGUUACUUCCAAAUUAUGUUCAAUUAGGCAACAGAACUAAAGAAUAUGCCUCUGAUCUACUUAUUUCUCAGCCUGAAUGCUGACUUCAUAGACUUUCAAAACAAAGUAAUAGGUGAGGAGCAAAGGAAGUAGUUCUGCUGACGGUUCAGGACCUGCUGUGUGGGUAGGGUGGUUCACUAGUCAUCCUGAAAGGUAAGCUCUGACAUGGAGACAUUCAAGCAUGAGCAGACUUAGUCCUCUGGAACAACAGUUUCUAACUUUUUUGGCACCAGGGACUGGUUUUGUGGAAGACGAUAUUUUUCCACAGACCAAAAGACGGGGAGAUGGUUUGGGGAGGAUUCAAGAACAUAACGCUUAUUGUGUACUAUCAUCUAUUGCUAUUAUUAUUACAUUAUAAUAUAUAAUGAAAUAAUUAUACAACUCACGAUAAUGUAGAAUCAGUGGGAGCCCUGAGCUCAUUUUCCUGCAACUAGAUGGUCCCAUCUGGAGGUGAUGGGAGACAGUGACAGAGCAUCAGGUGUUAGAUUCUCA
RNAcentral lists this long non-coding RNA (662 nucleotides) under Homo sapiens (human). RNAcentral's name for it is "HSALNT0036719". Lineage: Eukaryota; Metazoa; Chordata; Mammalia; Primates; Hominidae. The record is from RNAcentral.